GAGUUUGAUCAUGGCUCAGGACGAACGCUGGCGGCGUGCCUAAUACAUGCAAGUCGAGCGGACAGAUGGGAGCUUGCUCCCUGAUGUUAGCGGCGGACGGGUGAGUAACACGUGGGUAACCUGCCUGUAAGACUGGGAUAACUCCGGGAAACCGGGGCUAAUACCGGAUGCUUGUUUGAACCGCAUGGUUCAAAUAUAAAAGGUGGCUUUUAGCUACCACUUACAGAUGGACCCGCGGCGCAUUAGCUAGUUGGUGAGGUAACGGCUCACCAAGGCAACGAUGCGUAGCCGACCUGAGAGGGUGAUCGGCCACACUGGGACUGAGACACGGCCCAGACUCCUACGGGAGGCAGCAGUAGGGAAUCUUCCGCAAUGGACGAAAGUCUGACGGAGCAACGCCGCGUGAGUGAUGAAGGUUUUCGGAUCGUAAAACUCUGUUGUUAGGGAAGAACAAGUACCGUUCGAAUAGGGCGGUACCUUGACGGUACCUGACCAGAAAGCCACGGCUAACUACGUGCCAGCAGCCGCGGUAAUACGUAGGUGGCAAGCGUUGUCCGGAAUUAUUGGGCGUAAAGCGCGCGCAGGCGGUUUCUUAAGUCUGAUGUGAAAGCCCCCGGCUCAACCGGGGAGGGUCAUUGGAAACUGGGGAACUUGAGUGCAGAAGAGGAGAGUGGAAUUCCACGUGUAGCGGUGAAAUGCGUAGAGAUGUGGAGGAACACCAGUGGCGAAGGCGACU
Molecule: ribosomal RNA, 736 nt
Filed under: Bacillus sp. THJ-E19
Lineage: Bacteria; Bacillati; Bacillota; Bacilli; Caryophanales; Bacillaceae
Description: bacterial SSU rRNA
Rfam family: Bacterial small subunit ribosomal RNA
Source: RNAcentral